AUCAAUAGCAUGCAUGGUUUAGGCCUAGGUUAUGUACAUGUGAUCUGAUAUUAGGCUUUGAUAAAGUGGUACUAACGUUGGAAAAUAGCAAUAAUCACUACUGAAAAAGCAGAAAAUUACAAAGAAUUCAUCCUCAGAAUGAAACAAAGAAGAAAAGAAAGAAGAGGAAAAUAUGUUAAAGAAAUGCAAAAGCAAAUUUGGUGGAACUCAUAUCUCUUGCUGUCAAUGCAAUCCUUUCUUUUCUUUCUAGCUAGCUUUUUGACUUGGAUAAUAAUUAACCUAUUUCUGCACCCAUCUUCGAGUUUACAAUGGGAACCCUAAAGAUGAUGGGACCAUACGCCUUGCCAUCCCAAUAAGUGCCUACUUUUACACUAUAAAACAUGUGCUUGAUAUGCUAAAGCUUAAGAAAUUUGACCAAUAAAG
This 423-nucleotide unclassified non-coding RNA is filed under the name Hevea brasiliensis (rubber tree). The record is from RNAcentral. Lineage: Eukaryota; Viridiplantae; Streptophyta; Magnoliopsida; Malpighiales; Euphorbiaceae.